UACGUAGGGGGCAAGCGUUGUCCGGAAUCAUUGGGCGUAAAGAGCGUGUAGGCGGUUCGGUAAGUCGGCUGUGAAAGUCCAGGGCUCAACCCUGGGAUGCCGGUCGAUACUGCCGGACUAGAGUCCGGAAGAGGAGAAUGGAAUUCCUGGUGUAGCGGUGAAAUGCGUAGAUAUCAAGAGGAACACCUGCGGCGAAGGCGGGUUGCUGGGCCGACACUGACGCUGAGGCGCGAAAGCUAGGGGAGCGAACGGG
Molecule: ribosomal RNA, 253 nt
Filed under: uncultured bacterium
Lineage: Bacteria
Description: partial 16S ribosomal RNA
Rfam family: Bacterial small subunit ribosomal RNA
Source: RNAcentral